GACGAACGCUGGCGGCGUGCUUAACACAUGCAAGUCGAACGGAAAGGCCCUGCUUUUGUGGGGUGCUCGCGUGGCGAACGGGUGAGUAACACGUGAGUAACCUGCCCUUGACUUUGGGAUAACUUCAGGAAACUGGGGCUACUACCGGAUAGGAGCUCCUGCUGCAUGGUGGGGGUUGGAAAGUUUCGGCGGUUGGGGAUGGACUCGCGGCUUAUCAGCUUGUUGGUGGGGUAGUGGCUUACCAAGGCUUUGAUGGGUAGCCGGCCUGAGAGGGUGACCGGCCACAUUGGGACUGAGAUACGGCCCAGACUCCUACGGGAGGCAGCAGUGGGGAAUAUUGCACAAUGGGCGGAAGCCUGAUGCAGCAACGCCGCGUGCGGGAUGACGGCCUUCGGGUUGUAAACCGCUUUCGCCUGUGACGAAGCGUGAGUGACGGUAAUGGGUAAAGAAGCACCGGCUAACUACGUG
Molecule: ribosomal RNA, 468 nt
Filed under: uncultured bacterium
Lineage: Bacteria
Description: partial 16S ribosomal RNA
Rfam family: Bacterial small subunit ribosomal RNA
Source: RNAcentral